Otolemur garnettii (small-eared galago) is the source of this 258-nucleotide long non-coding RNA. RefSeq lists it as uncharacterized. NCBI's taxonomy places the organism in Eukaryota, Metazoa, Chordata, Mammalia, Primates, Galagidae. The record is from RefSeq and is a predicted model, not a curated record. The transcript is spliced from 3 exons.
CUGAGAGGGAUGUGGGAAGCCUGUGAAGCCUGCACAAGAGUGGGAUAAUGGAGGGUGAACACCAUUCUCUCAGGAAAGGAUCUGUCAACAGUGUGGACCCUUCAACCUUCACUAAGGUGUACCAUUAAAUCAGAAGUGUAAAAAAGAAGGUAAGAAGGAAAAUUGACGGAGAGACAACUUCAAGGAUUACAUCUGUGGCUCCUGAGCAUUAGGUAAUGGAUACAUCCAAAUUAUAACACUUACUAACUGAAGUCCAAG